This 224-nucleotide long non-coding RNA is filed under the name Nicotiana benthamiana. Its description in RNAcentral is "long non-coding RNA (NBEN_LNC034181)". The record is from RNAcentral. Lineage: Eukaryota; Viridiplantae; Streptophyta; Magnoliopsida; Solanales; Solanaceae.
UAGAAAAGUCUUUGUCUUGUUAGGCUAGUAUUUAUUUAUUUCAAGAAAAAUCUUGUAAAUAGUAGGCAAAGUUUUAUGUAAAGAUGUAACGUGUCCUGGUGAGUCAGCAAAGAGAUAAAAAGGAAUAAUUUGGGUGGAGGAUGGGGCCCAAUGAGCACCCGCGCUCUAAUUAUUACACUCAAUCCUUUACCUAUAUAUAUAGGACUUUGUAAAUUCAAGAGGGG